GACGAACGCUGGCGACGUGCCUAAUGCGUGCAAGUCGCACGCGGGGAGCUUGCUCCGCCGCGUGGCGCACGGCUGAGGACCACGUGGGUACCAACCCCGGAGUGGGGGAUACCUCGUCGAAAGACGAGACAAUCCCGCAUACGAUCGGCAACGAUGAAAGCGGCAACGUGCGCUGGGACGGGCCUGCGGCCCAUCAGGUAGUUGGUGAGGUAAUGGCCCACCAAGCCUAGAACGGGUCCCUGGUCUGAGAGGCCGACCAGGCAGACUGGGACUGAGACACGGGCCAGACUCCUACGGGAGGCAGCAGCAAGGAAUUUUCCCCAAUGGCCGCAAGGCUGAGGGAGCAACGGCGCGUGCAGGACGACGGCCUUCGGGUUGUAAACUGCUUUUGGCGGGGAAGAUACUGACGGUACCCCCUGAAUAAGCCCCGGCUAACUCCGUGCCAGCCGCCGCCGUAA
RNAcentral lists this ribosomal RNA (458 nucleotides) under uncultured bacterium. RNAcentral describes it as "partial 16S ribosomal RNA". It matches the Rfam family "Bacterial small subunit ribosomal RNA", at positions 28 to 523 of the family's 1533-position model. The record is from RNAcentral.